RNAcentral lists this non-coding RNA (81 nucleotides) under unclassified sequences. RNAcentral describes it as "skipping-rope RNA". It matches the Rfam family "skipping-rope RNA". From Rfam's summary of the family: Firmicutes, Fusobacteria, AlphaProteobacteria, Spirochaetes. Downstream gene The record is from Rfam by way of RNAcentral.
CUCUAUUGAGGUCGGAAAUGGCACCCGACACACUCUGAAAAGAGUACCUGAGAUGCAACGAGUGCCGCCUUGCCAAUAGUA